RNAcentral lists this ribosomal RNA (392 nucleotides) under uncultured bacterium. RNAcentral's name for it is "bacterial SSU rRNA". It matches the Rfam family "Bacterial small subunit ribosomal RNA", at positions 28 to 403 of the family's 1533-position model. The record is from RNAcentral.
GAUGAACGCUGGCGGCGUGCCUAACACAUGCAAGUCGAGCGGGAUCUUGCUAAAUGACGCUUCGGUUGAUUUUAGUAAGUGAGAGCGGCGGACGGGUGAGUAACGCGUAGGCAACCUGCCCUUUGCAGAGGGAUAGCCCAUUGGAAACGAUGAUUAAAACCUCAUAAUGCCAGACUGAGACAUCUCUAACUGGCCAAAGAUUUAUCGGGCAAAGGAUGGGCCUGCGUCUGAUUAGCUAGUUGGUGGGGUAACGGCCUACCAAGGCGACGAUCAGUAGCCGACCUGAGAGGGUGAUCGGCACAUUGGAACUGAGACACGGUCCAAACUCCUACGGGAGGCAGCAGUGGGGAAUAUUGCACAAUGGCGAAAGCCUGAUGCAGCAACGCCGCGUG